AUUGAACGCUGGCGGCAUGCCUAACACAUGCAAGUCGAGCGGAUGAAGGGAGCUUGCUCCUGGAUUCAGCGGCGGACGGGUGAGUAAUGCCUAGGAAUCUGCCUGGUAGUGGGGGAUAACGUCCGGAAACGGGCGCUAAUACCGCAUACGUCCUGAGGGAGAAAGUGGGGGAUCUUCGGACCUCACGCUAUCAGAUGAGCCUAGGUCGGAUUAGCUAGUUGGUGGGGUAAAGGCCUACCAAGGCGACGAUCCGUAACUGGUCUGAGAGGAUGAUCAGUCACACUGGAACUGAGACACGGUCCAGACUCCUACGGGAGGCAGCAGUGGGGAAUAUUGGACAAUGGGCGAAAGCCUGAUCCAGCCAUGCCGCGUGUGUGAAGAAGGUCUUCGGAUUGUAAAGCGCUUUAAGUUGGGAGGAAGGGCAGUAAGUUAAUACCUUGCUGUUUUGACGGUACCAACAGAAUAAGCACCGGCUAACUUCGUG
This 484-nucleotide ribosomal RNA is filed under the name uncultured bacterium. RNAcentral's name for it is "partial 16S ribosomal RNA". It matches the Rfam family "Bacterial small subunit ribosomal RNA", at positions 30 to 507 of the family's 1533-position model. The record is from RNAcentral.